This 67-nucleotide small nuclear RNA is filed under the name Echinops telfairi (small Madagascar hedgehog). Its description in RNAcentral is "U7 small nuclear RNA (ENSETEG00000024897.1)". It matches the Rfam family "U7 small nuclear RNA". Rfam says of the family: Animal histone pre-mRNAs are spliced by a different mechanism than nuclear pre-mRNAs and self-splicing introns. This processing involves the U7 snRNP, which contains only one RNA species: U7. The 5' end of U7 RNA is thought to base-pair to a conserved spacer element downstream of the cleavage site in histone pre-mRNA. The record is from RNAcentral. Lineage: Eukaryota; Metazoa; Chordata; Mammalia; Afrosoricida; Tenrecidae.
UAGUGUUACAGCUCUUAGAAUUUGUCUAGCAGGUUUUCUGGAUUUUUUUUCCAGAAAUACUGCCCCC